Molecule: transfer RNA, 63 nt
Filed under: Heterocephalus glaber (naked mole-rat)
Lineage: Eukaryota; Metazoa; Chordata; Mammalia; Rodentia; Bathyergidae
Rfam family: tRNA
About the family: Transfer RNA (tRNA) molecules are approximately 80 nucleotides in length. Their secondary structure includes four short double-helical elements and three loops (D, anti-codon, and T loops). Further hydrogen bonds mediate the characteristic L-shaped molecular structure. tRNAs have two regions of fundamental functional importance: the anti-codon, which is responsible for specific mRNA codon recognition, and the 3' end, to which the tRNAs corresponding amino acid is attached (by aminoacyl-tRNA synthetases). tRNAs cope with the degeneracy of the genetic code in two manners: having more than one tRNA (with a specific anti-codon) for a particular amino acid; and 'wobble' base-pairing, i.e. permitting non-standard base-pairing at the 3rd anti-codon position.
Source: Rfam by way of RNAcentral
AUGUAGCUCAAUGGUAGAGCACCUGCCUAGCGUGCAUGAGGCCCUGGGUUCAAUCCCCAGUGU